Molecule: small nuclear RNA, 108 nt
Filed under: Dasypus novemcinctus (nine-banded armadillo)
Lineage: Eukaryota; Metazoa; Chordata; Mammalia; Cingulata; Dasypodidae
Source: RNAcentral
GUGCUCGCUUCGGCAGCACAUAUACUAAAAUUGGAACCAUACAGAGAAGGUUAGCAUGGCCACUGUGCAAAGAUCGGCAUGCAAAUUCGUGAAGCUUUCCAUUCGUUG